This 440-nucleotide ribosomal RNA is filed under the name uncultured bacterium. Its description in RNAcentral is "partial 16S ribosomal RNA". It matches the Rfam family "Bacterial small subunit ribosomal RNA", at positions 338 to 795 of the family's 1533-position model. The record is from RNAcentral.
CCUACGGGUGGCAGCAGUGGGGAAUAUUGGACAAUGGGGGAAACCCUGAUCCAGCGACGCCGCGUGAGUGAAGAAGUAUUUCGGUACGUAAAGCUCUAUCAGCAGGAAAGAAAAUGACGGUACCUGACUAAGAAGCCCCGGCUAACUACGUGCCAGCAGCCGCGGUAAUACGGAGGAUUCAAGCGUUAUCCGGAUUUAUUGGGUUUAAAGGGUGCGUAGGCGGUCGGAUAAGUUAGAGGUGAAAUCCCGAGGCUCAACUUCGGAAUUGCAGUUGAAACUGGAGGCCUUGAGUGCACACAGGGAUGCCGGAAUUCAUGGUGUAGCGGUGAAAUGCUUAGAUAUCAUGAAGAACUCCGAUCGCGAAGGCAAGUGUCCGGGGUGCAACUGACGCUGAGGCUCGAAAGUGCGGGUAUCAAACAGGAUUAGAUACCCUAGUAGUC